Durio zibethinus is the source of this 326-nucleotide non-coding RNA. The record is from RefSeq and is a predicted model, not a curated record. Lineage: Eukaryota; Viridiplantae; Streptophyta; Magnoliopsida; Malvales; Malvaceae.
UCAGCUUUCUAUCAAAGCCAAAGGAGUCAAGAGUUCCUUGUGCUUCUAUUCCUGCUUUUUCCCUUUGUUGCUAAUCACAUUUUCUUCAAUUUUUGUUUCUGUUCUCAAGUUUUUAACACAAGUAUUCUCAAAAUGAAGAUAGUUGUGUUGAAAUUGGAUUUGCACGAUGGUAAGUGCAGACAAAAAGCCUUGAAGAUAGCCUCUGGCCUUGAAGGGGUUCAUUCAGUUUCCAUGGACAGACCAAAAAUUGACUGUGACAGGAGACGUUGAUCCAGUGAUGGCGGUGAAGAAACUAAAGAAGCUGUGUUGCACAGAGUUAGUUUCGG